Molecule: long non-coding RNA, 507 nt
Organism: Stylophora pistillata
Lineage: Eukaryota; Metazoa; Cnidaria; Anthozoa; Scleractinia; Pocilloporidae
Source: RefSeq, a predicted model, not a curated record
GAUUACAAGCUGGUUUGGCCAGGUGAACAGAAGACAAGUCCAGUAACAAUAGCAAUUAACGAAGAUGAAACGUACAAAGUGUGUUUCACAAAGGAAUCUGCAGCCAAAGGAGUUCUCACCAUUCUUAUACAGGGAGGAGUUGGAGUGGGCAAAACUAGUUUGUGCAACACUCUAACGCGUCUCUUUAAAGCGUCUGUUGGUAAUGAAGUUCUCUCCCGUGGUCAGUCUGCUACCCAAUUCCCUAACGAGUGUAGCCAGAAAACAAGAAAUUUAAGGAAAUCUUUUGAAAAGAAGUUGAUACCGCAAUGUACUGACCGAGGCGCUAAACCCAAGCUGGUUUGGCCAGGUGAACAGAACACCAGUCCAGUAACAAUAGCAAUUAACGAAGAUGAAACGUACAAAGUGUGUUUCACAAAGGUAGUUCCCAUAAAAUAUCAAAUUAAUUGUCUAAUAGCCCUGAUAGAAGACCCGGAAGACGCAGAUUUUCCUCCCUCCCUUCAGGUUUUU